Molecule: long non-coding RNA, 821 nt
Filed under: Salvia miltiorrhiza (redroot sage)
Lineage: Eukaryota; Viridiplantae; Streptophyta; Magnoliopsida; Lamiales; Lamiaceae
Description: long non-coding RNA (SMIL_LNC001699)
Source: RNAcentral
UCCGGACAUCUUGAUUGGGUUCUGACCAUAAGCUUGCCUAUCUUCUAUUGUCUUCCCCUUUAGUCAAAGCCCUAGGUGCAUCUCAUUAGGUCUUUCAUGGGUUGUAAUGUGGCUUAAGGCAUAAGGUGAGAAUUUUUGGUACGAGGUUAAGGUCAUUCUGAACUUCAUUCUGGGCCACAGACUUCCCAGAUUCUUUUGAUCCUUGCCUAUUCUUGCGGGCUUAAGCACAUUCUUCCUUUUAUUCUUCCUCUUUUUUUUUUUUCUUUUUCUCAUUCUCUUUUUUUUUUCUUUUUCUUUUUAUGGACUUUUUCUAUUUUGGGAUUAGACGUCCCAUUUUGCAAUUUUUGCACUAGUCCUGCCCAUAGGCUUCACUACACUAUCUCCCUUUCUUUUGCCCUUAAGUUCAGUUUUGACCGGGACGGCUCAAAUCUAGGCAAAUUUAUAAGUGAAUUCAAAAGAAUUAUUAAGCUCAAAAGGGGUUGCAAGUGAUAGAUGUAGGGUUGGUCAGUUUGGCUCAGUGGGCUAAAGAAAGAAUUUGCCUAAAUCAUUUAACACACCUAGACUAUGUACACAGGGUUCGACUAAGAAUCAAGGCAAGUUCUAGCAUCACCCUAAAUCAAGAUGUCAAAAUUCACACAAUGAAAGAAAGAAUUGUUUUGGGCAUAAAGUAACAAUUUUAAAAGCUCAAAUCCUCACAAGGUAUGCCCAAUUCCCUAUCCAUCGUCCUCAACUACAUACGGCACAAAGUUUGCAUAAUCUCACUCACAAAAUUGCACUUUCAAAUCAUCACAACUGAGUAACAUCGAUUGUACAGCAUGCUU